UCCGCGCUGCACAUUCACUCCCUU
This 24-nucleotide non-coding RNA is filed under the name Arabidopsis thaliana (thale cress). Lineage: Eukaryota; Viridiplantae; Streptophyta; Magnoliopsida; Brassicales; Brassicaceae. The record is from RNAcentral.